UGGGACUGAGACACGGCCCAAACUCCUACGGGAGGCAGCAGUGGGGAAUAUUGGACAAUGGGGGCAACCCUGAUCCAGCCAUGCCGCGUGAGUGAUGAAGGCCCUAGGGUUGUAAAGCUCUUUUGUGCGGGAAGAUAAUGACGGUACCGCAAGAAUAAGCCCCGGCUAACUUCGUGCCAGCAGCCGCGGUAAUACGAAGGGGGCUAGCGUUGCUCGGAAUCACUGGGCGUAAAGGGUGCGUAGGCGGGUUUCUAAGUCAGAGGUGAAAGCCUGGAGCUCAACUCCAGAACUGCCUUU
Molecule: ribosomal RNA, 297 nt
Filed under: Rhodopseudomonas palustris
Lineage: Bacteria; Pseudomonadati; Pseudomonadota; Alphaproteobacteria; Hyphomicrobiales; Nitrobacteraceae
Description: partial 16S ribosomal RNA
Rfam family: Bacterial small subunit ribosomal RNA
Source: RNAcentral